Long non-coding RNA from Erigeron canadensis, 304 nucleotides. RefSeq lists it as uncharacterized. The record is from RefSeq and is a predicted model, not a curated record. The transcript has 2 exons. Lineage: Eukaryota; Viridiplantae; Streptophyta; Magnoliopsida; Asterales; Asteraceae.
UCCAAUGCAGCCCGGAAGCACUGAAUGUGGUUAUUAUGUGUUAAAGUUUAUGAAGGAAAUAGUUGAGCAAGGAAUUCAAGUACUUGAAUAUGACAACAUCGGGGAAGAUAAAGAAGAAUACACGGAUGAUGAUUUGGAUGAAGUUCGUGAAGAAUGGGCAGAAUAUGUGGCAAACUUCAUUUACCGGCCUUGAACAUUAUAUAAUUUAACGGUUGUAAACUUAUGGUUAAUAUUAGAAUUUAAAAUUACUUGUAGUGUAUGAAACGCAUUGUUUUUGAUAUAUACGAAAUGCCCUCUUUUGCUA